This 492-nucleotide ribosomal RNA is filed under the name uncultured bacterium. Its description in RNAcentral is "partial 16S ribosomal RNA". It matches the Rfam family "Bacterial small subunit ribosomal RNA", at positions 29 to 507 of the family's 1533-position model. The record is from RNAcentral.
AGUGAACGCUGGCGGUAGGCCUAACACAUGCAAGUCGAACGGCAGCACAGUAAGAGCUUGCUCUUACGGGUGGCGAGUGGCGGACGGGCGAGGAAUACAUCGGAAUCUACUUUUUCGUGGGGGAUAACGUAGGGAAACUUACGCUAAUACCGCAUACGACCUACGGGGGAAAGCAGGGGAUCUUCGGACCUUGCGCGAUUGCAUGAGCCGAUGUCGGAUUAGCUAGUUGGCGGGGUAAAGGCCCACCAAGGCGACGAUCCGUAGCUGGUCUGAGAGGAUGAUCAGCCACACUGGAACUGAGACACGGUCCAGACUCCUACGGGAGGCAGCAGUGGGGAAUAUUGGACAAUGGGCGCAAGCCUGAUCCAGCCAUACCGCGUGGGUGAAGAAGGCCUUCGGGUUGUAAAGCCCUUUUGUUGGGAAAGAAAAGCAGCAGGUUAAUACCCCGCUGUUCUGACGGUACCCAAAGAAUAAGCACCGGCUAACUUCGUG